AGUGGAUGGGGAGCAACCUAGUUGUGCGUGUGUAAAGGUAGUGCCAAGAAAAGCGAUGAUCAUGUUGAAAAUCAAUUCCCGGUACCCGAAACCGACACAGGUGGGCAAGUAGAGAAUACUAAGGGGCGCGAGGUAACUCUCUCCAAGGAACUCGGCAAAAUGACCCCGUAACUUAGGGAGAAGGGGUGCCACCGAGAGGUGGUCGCAGUGAAGAGGCCCAGGCGACUGUUUAGCAAAAACAUAGGUCUCUGCAAACUCGAAAGAGGAGGUAUAGGGGCUGACGCCUGCCCAGUGCCGGAAGGUUAAAGAAGUUGGUCAGUCUUAGGAUGAAGCUAGCGACUGAAGCCCCGGUGAACGGCGGCCGUAACUAUAACGGUCCUAAGGUAGCGAAAUUCCUUGUCGGGUAAGUUCCGACCCGCACGAAAGGCGUAACGAUCUGGGCGCUGUCUCGGAGAGAGGCUCGGCGAAAUAGGAUUGUCUGUGAAGAUACGGACUACCUGCAUUUGGACAGAAAGACCCUAUGAAGCUUUACUAUAGCUUGGAAUUGUGUUCGGGCUUCCUGUGCGCAGGAUAGGUGGGAGGCGUAGAAGGUAUUCUUGUGGGGAUACUGGAGCCAACGGUGAGAUACCACUCUCAGGAGGCUAGAAUUCUAACUUAAUUAAGGACAGUUUCAGGUGGGUAGUUUGACUGGGGCGGUCGCCUCCAAAAAGGUAACGGAGGCGUACAAAGGUUCCCUCAGACUGGUUGGAAAUCAGUCGAAGAGUGCAAAGGCAGAAGGGAGCUUGACUGCGAGAAGUACAGUUCGAGCAGGGUGGAAACACGGUCUUAGUGAUCCGACGGUGCUGUGUGGAAGGGCCGUCGCUCAACGGAUAAAAGUUACUCUAAGGAUAACAGGCUGAUCUCCCCCAAGAGUUCACAUCGACGGGGAGGUUUGGCACCUCGAUGUCGGCUCAUCGCAACCUGGGGCGGAAGUACGUCCCAAGGGUUGGGCUGUUCGCCCAUUAAAGCGGUACGUGAGCUGGGUUCAGAACGUCGUGAGACAGUUCGGUCCAUAUCCGAUGUAGGCGUGAGAAUAUUGAGAGGAGCCUUCCUUAGUACGAGAGGACCGGGAAGGACGCACCCUGGUGUACCUGUUAUGAUGCCAAUUGUAAACGCAGGGUAGCCAAGUGCGGAGAGGAUAACCGCUGAAAGCAUCUAAGUGGGAAGCCCACCUCAAGAUGAGUAUUCUGGUGUAAGGUCACGGGAAGACGACCCGUAAAUAGGCACGAGGUGGAAGUGCAGAGAUGUAUGAAGCCGAAGUGUACUAAUAGACCGUCGGCUUGACC
Molecule: ribosomal RNA, 1325 nt
Filed under: metagenome
Description: bacterial LSU rRNA
Rfam family: Bacterial large subunit ribosomal RNA
Source: RNAcentral